GGAGAGGUGGCAGAGUGGUUGAAUGCGGCACACUCGAAAUGUGUUAACAGUUAAUAGCUGUUCGGGGGUUCGAAUCCCUUCCUCUCCG
This 88-nucleotide transfer RNA is filed under the name Roseofilum reptotaenium AO1-A. It matches the Rfam family "tRNA". Rfam says of the family: Transfer RNA (tRNA) molecules are approximately 80 nucleotides in length. Their secondary structure includes four short double-helical elements and three loops (D, anti-codon, and T loops). Lineage: Bacteria; Bacillati; Cyanobacteriota; Cyanophyceae; Desertifilales; Desertifilaceae. RNAcentral also lists the same sequence under 7 other names. The record is from Rfam by way of RNAcentral.